Molecule: non-coding RNA, 956 nt
Organism: Propithecus coquereli (Coquerel's sifaka)
Lineage: Eukaryota; Metazoa; Chordata; Mammalia; Primates; Indriidae
Source: Ensembl
UAUAGGUCUGGUCCUAGCCUUCUUAUUAGUUAUCAGUAGGAUUACACAUGCAAGUAACCGCAUCCCAGUGAGAAUGCCCUCCAGAUCCUUACGAUCAAAAGGAGCAGGCAUCAAGCACGCCAGAUGGCUGCUCACUACGCCUUGCUAAACCACACCCCCACGGGACACAGCAGUGACAAAACUUAAGCAAUUAACGAAAGUUAGACUAAGCCAUACUGAUACUCAGGGUUGGUAAAUUUCGUGCCAGCCACCGCGGUCAUACGAUUAACCCAAACUAAUUUAACACGGCGUAAAGUGUGUUUAAGAGUACCCUUAAAUAAAGUUAAAUUUUAUCUGAGCUGUAAAAUGCUCCAGCUAAAAAUAAAACAAACUACGAAAGUGACUUUAACACCCUGAAAACACGACAGCCAAGACCCAAACUGGGAUUAGAUACCCCACUAUGCUUAGCCAUAAACUUAAGUAGUUAACAAACAAUACUACUCGCCAGAGUACUACAAGCAACAGCUCAAAACUCAAAGGACUUGGCGGUGCUUUAUAUCCCCCUAGAGGAGCCUGUUCUAUAAUCGAUAAACCCCGAUAAACCCUACCACUUCUUGCUAAUUCAAUCUAUAUACCGCCAUCCCCAGCAAACCCUAUCAAGGCCCUAAAGUAAGCGCAAGCAUAUUACAUAAAAACGUUAGGUCAAGGUGUAGUCUAUGAAGUGGAGAGAAAUGGGCUACAUUUUCUAAUAACAGAACAGCACAUACUACAACAACCUUUAUGAAACUAAAGGCCGAAGGAGGAUUUAGUAGUAAAUUAAGAAUAGAGAGCUUAAUUGAAUAGGGCCAUGAAGCACGCACACACCGCCCGUCACCCUCCUCUAAACUUCUAUUACCAAUUCCUUAAUUACCACUCAAAAUACAAGAGGAGAUAAGUCGUAACAAGGUAAGCAUACUGGAAAGUGUGCUUGGAAUACU